RNAcentral lists this ribosomal RNA (570 nucleotides) under Aspergillus flavus. RNAcentral's name for it is "eukaryotic LSU rRNA". The stretch from base 188 to 341 matches the Rfam family "5.8S ribosomal RNA". Lineage: Eukaryota; Fungi; Ascomycota; Eurotiomycetes; Eurotiales; Aspergillaceae. The record is from RNAcentral. RNAcentral also lists the same sequence under 1 other name.
CAUUACCGAGUGUAGGGUUCCUAGCGAGCCCAACCUCCCACCCGUGUUUACUGUACCUUAGUUGCUUCGGCGGGCCCGCCAUUCAUGGCCGCCGGGGGCUCUCAGCCCCGGGCCCGCGCCCGCCGGAGACACCACGAACUCUGUCUGAUCUAGUGAAGUCUGAGUUGAUUGUAUCGCAAUCAGUUAAAACUUUCAACAAUGGAUCUCUUGGUUCCGGCAUCGAUGAAGAACGCAGCGAAAUGCGAUAACUAGUGUGAAUUGCAGAAUUCCGUGAAUCAUCGAGUCUUUGAACGCACAUUGCGCCCCCUGGUAUUCCGGGGGGCAUGCCUGUCCGAGCGUCAUUGCUGCCCAUCAAGCACGGCUUGUGUGUUGGGUCGUCGUCCCCUCUCCGGGGGGGACGGGCCCCAAAGGCAGCGGCGGCACCGCGUCCGAUCCUCGAGCGUAUGGGGCUUUGUCACCCGCUCUGUAGGCCCGGCCGGCGCUUGCCGAACGCAAAUCAAUCUUUUCCAGGUUGACCUCGGAUCAGGUAGGGAUACCCGCUGAACUUAAGCAUAUCAAUAAGCGGAGGAA